Molecule: transfer RNA, 68 nt
Filed under: Anolis wattsii
Lineage: Eukaryota; Metazoa; Chordata; Lepidosauria; Squamata; Anolidae
Description: tRNA-Ala
Rfam family: tRNA
About the family: Transfer RNA (tRNA) molecules are approximately 80 nucleotides in length. Their secondary structure includes four short double-helical elements and three loops (D, anti-codon, and T loops). Further hydrogen bonds mediate the characteristic L-shaped molecular structure. tRNAs have two regions of fundamental functional importance: the anti-codon, which is responsible for specific mRNA codon recognition, and the 3' end, to which the tRNAs corresponding amino acid is attached (by aminoacyl-tRNA synthetases). tRNAs cope with the degeneracy of the genetic code in two manners: having more than one tRNA (with a specific anti-codon) for a particular amino acid; and 'wobble' base-pairing, i.e. permitting non-standard base-pairing at the 3rd anti-codon position.
Source: RNAcentral
AAGGUCUUAGCCUAAUGAAGGUGUUUGAGUUGCAUUCAGAAGAUGUGAAUUAAAAUUUCACAGGUCUU